AGGCCGGGUUGUUUAUUGGAAAAGGAGUAAAGACAACGAGAGCCUGAAGAUCCCAGGGAGGAUCUCACUGUGGAUGGUGCCAGGUUUGCCCACAUCAAGAUGCUGAUCCUGAAAAGCCACGAGUUCCUGCCAUGAUUGAUGGUCUUAAUGCUCUUAAAAAAAAAUCAUCACAGGGCCUGGGCCAGGGAUGGUGACAUUAUUUUCUGCAGCUGAGGGUAGGUUACUGUUAAAUCAUUCCCCCCACAACAGGCAUAAAUAGGUCUGUAGGCCAAAUUCACUGCAGACAUUGCUCAUCAUUUACACCCUUGUCUUUCCUAUGUUCCAGGUUUUCAGACAAUGGAAUUGGACUAACUCUGGCAAGUGAUGGGACUUUCCCAACAGACAGCAGCUCCAGCCUGGAGGUUACAUAUUCCAUUUUUGUUGGAGCAACUUUGGCUCCCAGAGAGGCCAAAACAGCUACUGGGGAAAAGGGGCAAAUGGAGAACACAGAACACUGCCCAGAAACAAGUUGGACUGGAAGUGUUUUUUUGCAAACCAAGCCAGUGGUUGGGAAACAGUGGCAAUGGAAAUGUGCAUUUUCCAUGGUGUGGAUGGCUGGGUGAGGGCAUUCAGACACCCCCAGAGGCAGAGCAGACCCUGCUGGAAUGGGAUAAUCUCUCCUGGGAAUCUCACAGCUUUACAUCCAGGCCAGAUGCCCCAGUAUCCUGA
RNAcentral lists this long non-coding RNA (708 nucleotides) under Zonotrichia albicollis (white-throated sparrow). RNAcentral describes it as "lncRNA (ENSZALG00000001392.1)". The record is from RNAcentral. Lineage: Eukaryota; Metazoa; Chordata; Aves; Passeriformes; Passerellidae.